UACGAAGGGGGCUAGCGUUGUUCGGAAUUACUGGGCGUAAAGCGUAUGCAGGCGGAUCGUUAAGUCGGGGGUGAAAUCCCGAGGCUCAACCUCGGAACUGCCUUCGAUACUGGCGAUCUUCGAGUCCGGGAGAGGUGAGUGGAACUCCGAGUGUAGAGGUGAAAUGCGUAGAUAUCUGGAGGAACACCGGUGGCGAAGGCGGCAUCCUGGACCAACACUGACACUGAGGAGCGAAAGCCAGGGGAGCAAACGGG
This 254-nucleotide ribosomal RNA is filed under the name uncultured bacterium. Its description in RNAcentral is "partial 16S ribosomal RNA". It matches the Rfam family "Bacterial small subunit ribosomal RNA", at positions 524 to 776 of the family's 1533-position model. The record is from RNAcentral.